Molecule: non-coding RNA, 841 nt
Organism: Chlorocebus sabaeus (green monkey)
Lineage: Eukaryota; Metazoa; Chordata; Mammalia; Primates; Cercopithecidae
Source: RefSeq, a predicted model, not a curated record
AUGACUUGGGAAGGUGGUGGUGGGGGUGGCUGUGACUCAGGGCCCAGGGAUCACAUGGGGGUCACUGCUGCCAUCAGCAGUCAGGCAGGGAGAGCAGAAAUGCAAAAAUACAGAUGUGUCUAUUUUUCUAAACUGGGGGGUGGAGGGGUGCCUCCUGAUAGCUUCCAAAGAGCUGACCAUGGAGGGCCCACAGUGCAUCCCACCCCUGCCCAAGAGUCUCUCUCCUUUGGGAUCCCCGGGUUCCCAGAGCUCCGAGGAAACUGAUCCUUCAUGUUUCAAUAGCUGUUGUUGUUUUUCUCUUCUGGGCCGGCCAGGGAAGGGUCGAGCAGACUCCAGGGGGCCUCCAGGGUCAGCUGGACCCCGCUGUGUUGCCCGCAGCCAGCCCUGCGGACAUGAGUGAGGUGGGAUAAUUUCAGGAGGUCCCAGCUUGGGACUGCCCGCCCCUCUGCCCUGGGAACCAGUCCAAGGGGCUGUCAGUUGAAUUUGCCUUUUUGUUGUUGUUGUUGUUUUUGUUGUUUAUUUGUUCUCCUUUUAAGGAAUUAUGAAGCUAAGAAAAGUUUUGUGUUUUGGGGGUUGGUGGACAAAGUUCUAGCUGAUUAAAUAUGGUCUAACUUAUUGAUACUAUUUUUUUUCUUUUAAUGUUGUACUGUGGAGAAAAACUAUUUUGAGCCAUGGGGUUGGUGUUUACAAGAACUUUCCACUUUUGCCAAAAUGUUACAAUUGAAAGGCAUCUGUGUCUUCAGUUUCCUAAUAUUUUCUUAAAAGAUCUAGUGUCCUUUUUGUACACUAAACAGGUGAAUGCUGACUUUUUUCAUUCUCCAAUAAAUUUCACUGAACUGAA